GCCAGGCCAGGCCAGGUGCGGGCUCUGUCCGCCUCAGCCUCCCACCUUCAGCCCACGGAGGCGGCGGACACACGGGUGAACCGGCGUGGAGCCUGGAGGUUAUGACGGGAGGCUGCGAGGUCCUUUCUGAGGCUGGAUGUUGGCUUCGUAUGGAACAAAAAGGGUAUUUAGGAGCCCUCGCAGGUUUUCCUGGUCCUGGCUGAGAGGUGCUCAGGAAGGGAUUGCACUGGAACUAAAGCUGCUGGUUUGGGAAUGCAGCUCAACGGCAUAAAAUAAAAUUAUGAAAUAAGGUC
Manacus vitellinus (golden-collared manakin) is the source of this 293-nucleotide long non-coding RNA. RefSeq lists it as uncharacterized. NCBI's taxonomy places the organism in Eukaryota, Metazoa, Chordata, Aves, Passeriformes, Pipridae. The record is from RefSeq and is a predicted model, not a curated record. The transcript is spliced from 2 exons.